RNAcentral lists this long non-coding RNA (644 nucleotides) under Vitis vinifera (wine grape). RNAcentral describes it as "long non-coding RNA (VVIN_LNC007968)". Lineage: Eukaryota; Viridiplantae; Streptophyta; Magnoliopsida; Vitales; Vitaceae. The record is from RNAcentral.
GAGGAUCCUCCGGCGCCUUCUUCGACCUCCGAAGAAGAAGAAGAGAACGAGGAGAACGAAGAGAACGAAGAGGAGGAGGAAGAGGAGGAGGAAUCGUCACCUGAAGAGUCGUCUGAAGAAGAGGAGGAAGGGGAAGAAAACAAAUCUACCGUUCUUACUCCUCCUCCUGCCGUUGACAAGAAGGCGUCUUCUAACAAGCUUGUAGCCACUACUCCUGCUAAGUCUACCCCUCAAUCUUCCUCUGAAGAUGAAGAGGAUGGAUCGGAAUCCGAGUCGGAAUCCGAUUCGCCGCCCAAAAGCCGUCGUUCCUCCCGCGGUGCGGACCCAACUAUAAAGCCAAUUGCAACAAAACCCAUGGAGGAAACUCCAAAAUCGAAGAAGGCAAGAUCCAAACCCGGAGUGUCUGUCACUCCUAGUCCUGUGAAAUCAAGUCCUGUUAAACCAUCGAACUCGAAGCGCCCGGGCGAGAUCGGGCUCGAGAGGAAGGAGUCGAAGAGGGCAAAGAAGAAGGAGCCGGAGGCGGAGGCGGAGGAGGAAGAAGAUGGAAAGAAGACUGGAGACGACUCGAAGAAGCAGAUGUUCCAGAGGAUAUGGAGCGAAGAAGAUGAGCUUGGCAUCUUGAAGGGUAUGAUCGAUUAUUCGGC